RNAcentral lists this long non-coding RNA (1335 nucleotides) under Homo sapiens (human). Its description in RNAcentral is "non-protein coding lnc-PAK4-2:1". Lineage: Eukaryota; Metazoa; Chordata; Mammalia; Primates; Hominidae. The record is from RNAcentral.
CCUCAGCCUCCCAAAGUGCCCGGAUUACAGGUGUGAGCCACCAUGCCCGGCCAUUGGCCGGCUUUUAUUAUUUCAUCUAGUUCCCUGGUUGUCGACAAGGUGAUGCUUCCCAGAUUUUCAUCUCAGCCCCGACCCCUCUCUCAGACUCCAGCCGGUACAUCCAGUUGCCCCUGGCAUCACCCCUGCGGAUACCUCGUACUUCACAUAUAUGCAUGGAGUACUUGAUUUCCCAAGAACCCCCUCAAAGAGCUGCCCCAUUCUGUCUGACCUCAUCUCCCCUUCAUUCUCUUCACCCCACACUGGCCUCCGUGCUCUUCCCCAACCCACCAAACCCCGUCGCACCUCAAGGCCUUUGCACUGACUGUUUCCUCUCCCAGAAUGCUCCUCUCCUAGGCCUUUGUGCAGCUAAUUCCUUCCCCUUCUUCAGGUUUCUGCUCAAAUAUCACCUCCUCCGAGAAGCCCUCCCUGACCACCCCAACUAGGCAAGGCUUCCACCUGCUCUUCUCUGCCCUGACAGCGCAUUCUUCACCUUCAAGGCACUUAGUGCUGUUUGUCAAUUAACUAGUUACUUGUUGAAUUGUAACUAGUUAAUUGACAUCCCUUCCCCCACAAGGCUGCAAGCCCCGUGGGGACAGGAAUGGUGUCUGUUCUUUCACCACAUUACACCCCAGUGCACAGGGCUUGGCCAUUGAAGGCAUCUCAUAAACAUCUGUUGAAAGAACAGGUGGUAGAAAGCAAUGAGAGGCUCCGGACCUUGUUUGCUUUAUAAAAAUUAUAUUUUUUAUCAGCCUGGGUAACAUGGGGAGACCCCCAUCUCUACAAAACAUUUAAAAAUUAACUGGGCAUGGUGGUGUGUGCCUGUGGUCCCAGCUACUUGGGAGGCUGAGGUGGGAGAAUCACUUGAGCCCAGGAGGUUGAGGUUACAGUGAGCUAUGGUGGUGCCACUGCACUACAGCCUGGUGACAGAGAGAAACCCUGUCUCAAAAAAAAAAUUACACUUAGGCUGGAUGUAGUGGCUCAUACCUGUAAUCCCAGCACUUUGGGAGGCCACAGUGGGUGGAUCACCUGAGAUCAGGAGUUGGAGACCAGCCUGGGCAACAUGGUGAAACCUCGUCUCUAGUAAAAAUACAAAAAAAAAUUAUUUGGGCGUGGUGUCACAUGCCUGUAAUCCCAGUUACUGGGGAGGCUGAGGCAGGAGAAUGGCUUGAACUUAAGAGGCAGAGGUUGCAGUGAGCCGAGAUUGCACCACUGCACUCCAGUCUGGGCAACAGAGUGAGACUGUCUCAAAAAUUACACUUAAAAGUGUAAUAGGCUGGGCACAGUGGCUCAUGCCUG